GUUUUAAAUAUCAAAAUUUGAUUGGGCCUUGGUGUUUGCUUUACAAUACCUUUUUGCUGUUUCUCAGCAGGUUUCCAGUUGGUCAGUAUUACAUUGUGUGUCUGUGUGGCUCUGCUGCUGAUUGGUGGAUUGGUAGUGGUACUACUAAUGAGGUACAAGAAGAGACAAGGUUCAAUGCUAGCCUCAUCUUCAUCUAGGAUGGAGUUAAAGGACAGUAAAAGAGUUCUUCUUGGGUUGUGGAAGAAAGAGAAGAUAGAAGAUAGAACACAGGAUGCUGAGAAAGAUCUAACGGAGCCCACGUACAUCACUGU
RNAcentral lists this long non-coding RNA (311 nucleotides) under Astyanax mexicanus (Mexican tetra). Its description in RNAcentral is "lncRNA (ENSAMXG00005004196.1)". Lineage: Eukaryota; Metazoa; Chordata; Actinopteri; Characiformes; Acestrorhamphidae. The record is from RNAcentral.